Molecule: long non-coding RNA, 808 nt
Organism: Lolium rigidum
Lineage: Eukaryota; Viridiplantae; Streptophyta; Magnoliopsida; Poales; Poaceae
Exons: 2
Source: RefSeq, a predicted model, not a curated record
UGCAUUUAUUUCUUGGUUAAACAACUAAUGGAAAUCCUGAGCUUACUAGUGACUUUUAAUUAGGAACUUGCUUUUCUAGCAGAAAAACUUGAAUCUGGAAACAAAAAAAUGACAAAAGAGACAAACAUGUUAUUCCCAUGAAUCUAAGUAAGUAGGCUUCUCAAUUUUUGGUUAGUUGUUUUUGUGAAUCUAGGUAAGUUGGCUUUCCAACAUUGGUUAAGUUAUUGUCUGAACCUAGGAAAGUUGGCUUCUCAAUGUUUGUUUAGGGUAGUACAUUUUUGUUAGUUGUUACAUGCAUGGAUGCUAAAGGCAAUGGGUUGUUUUAGAAGGUUGGUAGUAAAUAUGCCAGCUUAUGUUUAUUCCAUUUUUGAUUCAAAUUUUGUUCUGCCUGUUGCCACAUAUUUUUGUCUAACAUGAGUUUUCAUUUUUUGCUGAUUUGGCAAAAAAGUAGUUGAAAGAAGGUGUUGGCGCCAUCAUAAGAGGUGGUCUUUUUGUUGGGAUGACAAGGACUGAAGAAUUUAUAUUUUCGAAGUUGCCACAGGGUUUUUCCUAUGAGAGUAAUGCGACAAGAACAAGUGUGUGGGGGCGUCAGCAUAGUCAACGGAGAAAAUUCUAUAGCUGAUCUAUUGAUGCUACCGAAACUGUUUAGUAGACAACUAUGUACAUAUGCAGAUAAAUAGUGAUGUUUUUCGAGUUACAUAACUAUUAGUACUAGUGCACCUACAUAUUCAGUACCAUGGAAACAUUUUGUAGCACAAACCAUAUGAGUUUGUAUUAAAAAAAACCCUAGUAUCUUGUUCAUAUGCAA